Molecule: transfer RNA, 81 nt
Filed under: Schistocephalus solidus
Lineage: Eukaryota; Metazoa; Platyhelminthes; Cestoda; Diphyllobothriidea; Diphyllobothriidae
Rfam family: tRNA
About the family: Transfer RNA (tRNA) molecules are approximately 80 nucleotides in length.
Source: Rfam by way of RNAcentral
GGCCGCGUAGCUCAGUUGGCUAGAGCGUUGACUACUAGAACCGUCACCUUGCUGGCGUGGGUUCGAAUCCCACCGAAGACA